GUCUGUUGAGAACUACAGGCUAAUACACAACUGGGUUAUGGCACAACACAUGCAGUCCCAUGCACCUUAUAAAUGGGAUUACUGGCCUCAUGAAGAUGUCCGUGCUGAAUGUAGAUUUGUUGGCCUUACUAACCUUGGAGCUACUUGUUACUUAGCUUCUACUAUUCAGCAACUUUAUAUGAUACCUGAGGCAAGACAGGCUGUCUUCACUGCCAAGGUAGAAUUUUCCUCACUUUAAAAAUCAAAAUUAUAAACCAGAUUUUAAUAUUUUGUUGAUAAAUCUUUAUUUCAAUGUAAAUGUUUGAAAAAAUAAUUUGUGAAUGAAAGUAAAUUUGAUUACAGUAA
This 345-nucleotide small RNA is filed under the name Pan troglodytes (chimpanzee). Its description in RNAcentral is "retained intron". Lineage: Eukaryota; Metazoa; Chordata; Mammalia; Primates; Hominidae. The record is from RNAcentral.